RNAcentral lists this long non-coding RNA (712 nucleotides) under Phoenix dactylifera (date palm). RNAcentral's name for it is "long non-coding RNA (PDAC_LNC019104)". The record is from RNAcentral. Lineage: Eukaryota; Viridiplantae; Streptophyta; Magnoliopsida; Arecales; Arecaceae.
UAGUACCUCGUGCCUCUUCCAACUCCACCGGAUAGGGAGCAAAUAGAGUAUAGAGCAUAGAAAAGUAAAAUCAAAAGAAAUGAAGAUCAGAAUGUUCACUGAGUGGUUAAAGGAAGAAAUUCAAAAAUGAGAAAAUGAAUGACAAGAUAAAUGGAAGUAUAUAGGAAGCUUGUGAAGAGCCAAAUGAAGUUUCGAUCACUUGAAAACACACCUUAAGGAUAAAAUCAGUGUAAAAUUAUAUAUAAAUAGGGAGAGUUUAUUUGAAAAGAAUUGAUUUUGAUCCUUGACAUGCUUGCUCUUAAUGUUUUAAUACAUGAUGUUAUGACUUAAUGCAUAUAAUGUUUUGCAUGUGACAUGAUGUUUUGAAUUAUGUGUUUUCAAUAUUUGAAUAACCAAGAUCUUUUCUAAAUAUAAUUUGUAAUGCUUCAUGCCUAGAUAAUUUGAUUGAAAUAUGUUUCUAUCAACAACAUCAUCAUUUUGUUUUAGUGAAUAUUUUUUUUAAAAAAUAAAAGAAAAGAACAAUCUGAAUUUGUAAAUUAGGCAGAAUGAAUUAAUUCGGAUUUAUCUUCCAUUUUGCCUAACAUUGGUACAUAAUAUUCUGAUACAUGUUAAAAUAUCCUCCAAUUUGUACCAAAACUCAAUAUUAAAAAUAAAGAUUCUGAAUGUGCUCUGAUGUGCUUGAAAUAUGUAUUUUCAGUCUUAAUGACUUAAG